GCCGCGUGAGUGAUGAAGGCCCUAGGGUUGUAAAGCUCUUUCAGCGAGGAGGAUAAUGACGUUACUCGCAGAAGAAGCCCCGGCUAACUUCGUGCCAGCAGCCGCGGUAA
RNAcentral lists this ribosomal RNA (110 nucleotides) under uncultured Labrenzia sp. Its description in RNAcentral is "partial 16S ribosomal RNA". It matches the Rfam family "Bacterial small subunit ribosomal RNA", at positions 396 to 523 of the family's 1533-position model. The record is from RNAcentral. Lineage: Bacteria; Pseudomonadati; Pseudomonadota; Alphaproteobacteria; Hyphomicrobiales; Stappiaceae.